CCUGUGCAAAAAGUCGUUAAGCCGUUGAGCCAAGCGACAAGAUGAUUGGCUUAGCAACUUCAUUGCAUGGAGU
Molecule: microRNA precursor, 73 nt
Filed under: Euprymna scolopes
Lineage: Eukaryota; Metazoa; Mollusca; Cephalopoda; Sepiida; Sepiolidae
Description: Esc-Mir-12539_pre stem-loop
Source: RNAcentral